This 253-nucleotide ribosomal RNA is filed under the name uncultured bacterium. RNAcentral's name for it is "partial 16S ribosomal RNA". It matches the Rfam family "Bacterial small subunit ribosomal RNA", at positions 524 to 776 of the family's 1533-position model. The record is from RNAcentral.
UACGAAGGGGGCUAGCGUUGUUCGGAAUCACUGGGCGUAAAGGGCGCGUAGGCGGCUUUAUAAGUCGGGGGUGAAAGCCUGUGGCUCAACCACAGAAUUGCCUUCGAUACUGUAGAGCUUGAGACCGGAAGAGGUAAGUGGAACUGCGAGUGUAGAGGUGAAAUUCGUAGAUAUUCGCAAGAACACCAGUGGCGAAGGCGGCUUACUGGUCCGGUUCUGGCGCUGAGGCGCGAAAGCGUGGGGAGCAAACAGG